CCUACGGGAGGCAGCAGUGAGGAAUAUUGGUCAAUGGACGCAAGUCUGAACCAGCCAUGCCGCGUGCAGGAAGACGGCUCUAUGAGUUGUAAACUGUUUUUGUAGGAGGGUAAAUGCCGAUACGCGUAUCCUUCUGAACGUAUCGUACGAAUAAGGACUGGCCAACCCCGCGCCAGCAGCCGGGGUAAUACGGAGGGUUUAAGCGUUAACCGGAAUUAUUGGGUGUAAAGGGUGCGUAGGCGGUCGAAUAAGUUAGAGGUGAAAUCCCGAGGCUCAACUUCGGAAUUGCCUCUGAUACUGUUCGGCUAGAGAGUAGUUGCGGUAGGCGGAAUGUAUGGUGUAGCGGUGAAAUGCUUAGAGAUCAUACGGAACACCGAUUGCGAAGGCGGCUUACCAGACUACUUCUGACGUUGAGGCGCGAAAGCGUGGGGAGCAAACAGGAUUAGAUACCCCAGUAGUC
Molecule: ribosomal RNA, 460 nt
Filed under: uncultured bacterium
Lineage: Bacteria
Description: partial 16S ribosomal RNA
Rfam family: Bacterial small subunit ribosomal RNA
Source: RNAcentral